This 522-nucleotide ribosomal RNA is filed under the name uncultured bacterium. Its description in RNAcentral is "bacterial SSU rRNA". It matches the Rfam family "Bacterial small subunit ribosomal RNA", at positions 774 to 1294 of the family's 1533-position model. The record is from RNAcentral.
AGUAAAUAGAUACCCAGGUAGUCCACGCCGUAAACGAUGUCGACUUGGAGGUUGUGCCCUUGAGGCGUGGCUUCCGGAGCUAAACGCGUUAAGUCGACCGCCUGGGGAGUACGGCCGCAAGGUUAAAACUCAAAUGAAUUGACGGGGGCCCGCACAAGCGGUGGAGCAUGUGGUUUAAUUCGAUGCAACGCGAAGAACCUUACCUACUCUUGACAUCCAGAGAACUUAGCAGAGAUGCUUUGGUGCCUUCGGGAACUCUGAGACAGGUGCUGCAUGGCUGUCGUCAGCUCGUGUUGUGAAAUGUUGGGUUAAGUCCCGCAACGAGCGCAACCCUUAUCCUUUGUUGCCAGCGGUUAGGCCGGGAACUCAAAGGAGACUGCCAGUGAUAAACUGGAGGAAGGUGGGGAUGACGUCAAGUCAUCAUGGCCCUUACGAGUAGGGCUACACACGUGCUACAAUGGCGCAUACAAAGAGAAGCGACCUCGCGAGAGCAAGCGGACCUCAUAAAGUGCGUCGUAGUCC